UUUUGUAGUUAAUUUUGUAACGGUGGUUUUUCAGGCCACAGUUCUCGGAGAGAGGCCGAGCAGGAACU
Molecule: transfer RNA, 68 nt
Filed under: Carpodacus pulcherrimus (Beautiful rosefinch)
Lineage: Eukaryota; Metazoa; Chordata; Aves; Passeriformes; Fringillidae
Description: tRNA-Glu
Source: RNAcentral